Paramuricea clavata is the source of this 1333-nucleotide non-coding RNA. The record is from the annotation of a GenBank genome assembly. NCBI's taxonomy places the organism in Eukaryota, Metazoa, Cnidaria, Anthozoa, Malacalcyonacea, Plexauridae.
GCAUUAUAUUAUCUUACAAUGCAACAAUUCUGAAUGUGACUGGAAGCAUUGCUUUCACACAUCUCAAAAGCAAGGGCCCUCAUACAAUGUAAACACAAGAGCAGUCUUGGCAUUCAGGGAAAUUGGUCGUGGACACAGUGCCAUGGUGACAUUCACUAAAGUAAUGAACAUGCCAUCACCACCAACUGGCCGUAACUUCACGAAAAUUCAAAACAAUAAACUAUUGCCUGUUGUAAAACAAUUGGCAAAUGACAGCAUGAUGACCAAUGCCACAAGUGUCAAAGAAGUUUGUGAUAAUGAUAUGGGAGAGUGUGGGAUCUCCCUUGAUGGAAGUUGGCAAAGACGAGGCCAUACUUCGCCCAAUGGUGUCGUCACUGCCAUAUCAUUAGACACAAAGAAAUGUCUGGAUGUAGAAAUUAUGUCAGACAAGUGCAAGGCAUGCCAGAAAUGGGAAAAAAGAGUUAAUGACCCUAAAUAUCCAGAGUGGAAAGCUAACCACCAGUGCAAAAUUAACCAUACUGGAAGCGCGAACAGCAUGGAGGCAGCUGGUGCCUUGCGGAUUUUUCAAAGAUCCUUCAUUUCACGGGGACUCAAAUACAAGAACAUGCUUGGUGAUGGUGAUUCCUCCACAUACAAUAACAUUGUAGAAAGCAAGCCCUAUGGUGAGGAGUGCAUUCCAAACAAGCUUGAGUGCAUAGGUCAUGUACAAAAGAGAGUCGGAAGUAGAUUGCGAAGGUUGAAGAAUUCAAGUAAAGGGAUAAAGCUGAGUGAUGGGAAAGGGUUAGGCGGUAAGGGAAGAUUGACCGAUGGGAAGAUUGAUGUGUUGCAAAAUUAUUAUGGUCUUGCUGUGGGAGAGAAUUUGAAAGAUGUCAACAGCAUGGCCAGAUCUAUUAAAGCAGUGCUUUAUCAUGUUGCCUCAACUGAGUCAGAUCCACAGCAUAUCACCUUUGUCCGAACGGAGACGACAGUUGGUGCGGGUACAAAAGAGACAAGGAAACUUAUGAGCACAAGAAGGGCAUUCCCAAGUGCAUUGUUGAAGUUAUUGAGCCAGUGUUUGAUGACCUGAGCAAGGCUGAGCUUCUACAAAAGUGCACUCAUGGCUUGACUCAAAAUGUAAAUGAGUGUCUCAAUGGGCUAAUUUGGGAUCGAUAUCCUAAAACCACCUAUGUGGAACAGGAAACUGUAGCAUUGGCAACUUAUUUGGCAGUGCUUAAAUUUCAUGAUGGAGACAUCUCCUAUUUGAAGAUAUAUGAAGACCUGGACAUAAAGCCUGGGAUGUUCACCUGCCAAGCUGCUCAAAAAUGCGACCAAUCUCGGAUCCGUUUAUCGGCUA